UACGAAGGGGGCUAGCGUUGCUCGGAAUCACUGGGCGUAAAGCGCACGUAGGCGGAUCUUUAAGUCAGGGGUGAAAUCCUGGAGCUCAACUCCAGAACUGCCUUUGAUACUGGGGAUCUCGAGUCCGGGAGAGGUGAGUGGAACUGCGAGUGUAGAGGUGAAAUUCGUAGAUAUUCGCAAGAACACCAGUGGCGAAGGCGGCUCACUGGCCCGAUACUGACGCUGAGGUGCGAAAGCGUGGGGAGCAAACAGG
This 253-nucleotide ribosomal RNA is filed under the name uncultured bacterium. RNAcentral's name for it is "partial 16S ribosomal RNA". It matches the Rfam family "Bacterial small subunit ribosomal RNA", at positions 524 to 776 of the family's 1533-position model. The record is from RNAcentral.